This 253-nucleotide ribosomal RNA is filed under the name uncultured bacterium. RNAcentral's name for it is "partial 16S ribosomal RNA". It matches the Rfam family "Bacterial small subunit ribosomal RNA", at positions 524 to 776 of the family's 1533-position model. The record is from RNAcentral.
UACGAAGGGGGCUAGCGUUGUUCGGAAUUACUGGGCGUAAAGCGCGCGCAGGCGGGUCAUCAAGUCAGGGGUGGAAGCCCAGAGCUCAACUCUGGAACUGCCCUUGAAACUGGUGACCUUGAGUACGGGAGAGGUGAGUGGAAUUCCCAGUGUAGAGGUGAAAUUCGUAGAUAUUGGGAAGAACACCGGUGGCGAAGGCGACUCACUGGGCCAUUACUGACACUGAGGUGCGAAAGCGUGGGUAGCAAACAGG